This 73-nucleotide transfer RNA is filed under the name Cordylochernes scorpioides. Its description in RNAcentral is "tRNA-Thr". Lineage: Eukaryota; Metazoa; Arthropoda; Arachnida; Pseudoscorpiones; Chernetidae. The record is from RNAcentral.
GUCCAGGGGUGGGAAUCGAACCCACAGUGUUCCGCUUACCGGGCAGAUGCCAUGUCCACUAGGCUACCCUGGA